CGGGGUGUAGCUCAGUGGUUCAGCGCUUGCCUAGCAGGUGUGAAGCCCUGGGUUCAAUCCUCAGCACCCCAU
Ictidomys tridecemlineatus (thirteen-lined ground squirrel) is the source of this 72-nucleotide non-coding RNA. NCBI's taxonomy places the organism in Eukaryota, Metazoa, Chordata, Mammalia, Rodentia, Sciuridae. The record is from Rfam.